AGGGAAUCUUCCGCAAUGGACGAAAGUCUGACGGAGCAACGCCGCGUGAGCGAAGAAGGCCUUCGGGUCGUAAAGCUCUGUUGUUAGGGAAGAACAAGUACGAGAGUAACUGCUCGUACCUCGACGGUACCUAACCAGAAAGCCACGGCUAACUACGUGCCAGCAGCCGCGGUAAUACGUAGGUGGCAAGCGUUGUCCGGAAUUAUUGGGCGUAAAGCGCGCGCAGGCGGUUUCUUAGGUCUGAUGUGAAAGCCCACGGCUCAACCGUGGAGGGUCAUUGGAAACUGGGGAACUUGAGUGCAGAAGAGGAGAGUGGAAUUCCACGUGUAGCGGUGAAAUGCGUAGAGAUGUGGAGGAACACCAGUGGCGAAGGCGACUCUCUGGUCUGUAACUGACGCUGAGGCGCGAAAGCGUGGGGAGCGAAC
Molecule: ribosomal RNA, 425 nt
Filed under: uncultured bacterium
Lineage: Bacteria
Description: bacterial SSU rRNA
Rfam family: Bacterial small subunit ribosomal RNA
Source: RNAcentral